UCUAUAUGAUGAUAUAUAUAGUCUGGCCUGCCCACUGAUGUAAAUAUUGAAGGGCCGCAGUAUACUGACUGUGCAAAGGUAGCAUAAUCAUUAGUCUUUUAAUUGAAGGCUUGAAUGAACGGUCGGACGAGAAAUAAACUGUCUUUUUUAUAAUUUUUGAAUUUAACUUUUAAGUGAAAAGGCUUAAAUUUUUUUAGGGGACGAUAAGACCCUAUAAAUCUUUACAUUCGCUUUUUUAUUAUACUUUUUUAUAAGUAUAUAGUUAAUAAUUAGAACGAAUGUUUCGCUGGGGCGGUGUAAAUAAAUUAUGUAACUGUUUAAAAAGAUUACAAUGAUUUUUGGUUUAUUUUAAAAGGUCCUAUUUAUAGAUUUAAAGAUAAAGUUACUUUAGGGAUAACAGCGUUAUUUCUUUUAAGAGUUCAUAUCUAAAAAGAAGUUUGCGACCUCGAUGUUGAAUUAAAAUUUCUUCAUGGUUGCAGAAGCUAUGAUAGAAAGUCUGUUCGACUUUUAAAUUUUUACA
This 520-nucleotide ribosomal RNA is filed under the name Lepidopa cf. richmondi BOLD:ACT9781. RNAcentral's name for it is "partial 16S ribosomal RNA". It matches the Rfam family "Bacterial large subunit ribosomal RNA", at positions 1831 to 2600 of the family's 2925-position model. Lineage: Eukaryota; Metazoa; Arthropoda; Malacostraca; Decapoda; Albuneidae. The record is from RNAcentral.